UGCUUAAUAACUUUGAGAUGAUAGAAGGCCGUCUUUGCUAGCCUAUAUAUCCCAUAUUUGUCCUAUUACUAUAUAUGAUCCUAGUUCACCCCUUUGAGCCUUUUAUUUUCCAUUUUAUUUGGUUUAGCCGUGGGUGGGAGCUUGGAGAUUGUUGUUAUGGGGUAGUUGGUUUAUGGAGAUGUGUGUUUAUGGAUUAUGUACUUUGAUCUUGAUUGAAAAAAUCCUAGUACCCUACAAGUCGUUGAAAAAAAAAGGAAAGGAAAGAGAGAAAAAAAGAAAAGAAAAGAGAGAAAAGAAUUGAAAAAAAAUGGGUACAUAGGAUGCUUUAGAAAGUCAUAAUAUCAUGAGAAUUAAUUAUUGUGUUGUGAUGGAUUUUGUAUUGGAAAUUUGGUUUUUGUGAUAGGUGGAUGAUUGUUGAGUGAGAAUGUUAUAAGGUUGGUGAUUGUGCUACAUUGAGU
RNAcentral lists this long non-coding RNA (458 nucleotides) under Salvia miltiorrhiza (redroot sage). Its description in RNAcentral is "long non-coding RNA (SMIL_LNC003840)". The record is from RNAcentral. Lineage: Eukaryota; Viridiplantae; Streptophyta; Magnoliopsida; Lamiales; Lamiaceae.